Molecule: long non-coding RNA, 366 nt
Organism: Bactrocera latifrons
Lineage: Eukaryota; Metazoa; Arthropoda; Insecta; Diptera; Tephritidae
Exons: 2
Source: RefSeq, a predicted model, not a curated record
AUUCCAAAGCGUUUGGGUGUGUUUUUCCUGCUACGCGUUGUCGCCGUGCUGUCAUCGGUACGACCACUGCAAAGAUUGAAAGUGUAUUGAGUAGAGAAAAGGAACAAAAAAACAAAAACGCUGUGUGAAUGUAAAACGGCGCUGGUCACUCAAAAAUUGGCAAAUUUUCAAGAAAAUACCACAACAAAAACAAAUCAAGGUGCAGCACAUUCGAAAGGGUUGUGUAAUAGUGACAACAAACGGCUGCYGAACAGACGCAAACUGGUUAGCUGGCUGGCUUUUAAUUAGUGAAACGGCUAAAAAUGAAAUAAGAAGAAAAUUCCGGACUACGAACAAGUGGAGAGCAAAUUGUGUUUAACAAGGCAA